UACGGCAGCGAAGUGGGUGAUGUCAAGCUUCCAAGAAAAGCCCUAUACCCGUUAAGGCAUGACGGCCUGUACCCGAAACCGACACAGGUGGGGUGGUAGAGAAUACCGAGGGGCGCGAGAUAACUCUCUCUAAGGAACUCGGCAAAAUGGCCCCGUAACUUCGGGAGAAGGGGUGCCACCGCAAGGUGGUCGCAGUGAAGAGGCCCAGGCGACUGUUUACCAAAAACACAGGUCUCCGCUAAGUCGCAAGACGAUGUAUGGGGGCUGACGCCUGCCCAGUGCCGGAAGGUUAAGGAAGCUGGUCAGCGCAAGCGAAGCUGGCGACUGAAGCCCCGGUGAACGGCGGCCGUAACUAUAACGGUCCUAAGGUAGCGAAAUUCCUUGUCGGGUAAGUUCCGACCCGCACGAAAGGCGUAACGAUCUGGGCGCUGUCUCGGAGAGAGGCUCGGCGAAAUAGAAUUGUCUGUGAAGAUGCGGACUACGUGCACCCGGACAGAAAGACCCUAUGAAGCUUUACUGUAGCUUGGUAUUGUGCCCGGGCUCUGAAUGCGCAGGAUAGGUGGGAGGCUUUGAUCCAUUGCUUGUGGGUGAUGGUGAGCCAACGGUGAGAUACCACUCUUUCAGAGCUAGGGUUCUAACAGCCACCCGUUAUCCGGGGGCUGGACAGUAUCAGGUGGGCAGUUUGACUGGGGCGGUCGCCUCCUAAAAGGUAACGGAGGCGCGCAAAGGUUUGCUCAGGCUGUUGGAAAUCAGCCGACGAGUGUAAAAGCAGAAGCAAGCUUGACUGUGAGACCAACAAGUCGAACAGGGACGAAAGUCGGCUUUAGUGAUCCGACGGUUCUGAGUGGAAGGGCCGUCGCUCAAUGGAUAAAAGUUACUCUAGGAUAACAGGCUGAUCUCCCCCAAGAGUUCACAUCGACGGGGAGGUUUGGCACCUCGAUGUCGGCUCAUCGCAACCUGGGGCUGAAGUCGGUCCCAAGGGUUGGGCUGUUCGCCCAUUAAAGCGGUACGCGAGCUGGGUUCAGAACGUCGUGAGACAGUUCGGUCCAUAUCCGGUGCAUGCGUAAGAACAUUGAGAGGAGUUCUCCCUAGUACGAGAGGACCGGGAGGAACGCACCUCUGGUGUACCAGUUAUCGUGCCAGCGGUAAACGCUGGGUAGCCAUGUGCGGAGAGGAUAACCGCUGAAAGCAUCUAAGUGGGAAGCCCACCUCAAGAUGAGUGUUCUCAUGGCUUAAGCCAGUAAGGUCACGGGAAGAACACCCGUUGAUAGGCUCUACGUGGAAGCGCAGCAAUGCGUGAAGCGGAGGAGUACUAAUAGACCGAGGGCUUGAC
RNAcentral lists this ribosomal RNA (1333 nucleotides) under metagenome. Its description in RNAcentral is "bacterial LSU rRNA". It matches the Rfam family "Bacterial large subunit ribosomal RNA", at positions 1578 to 2925 of the family's 2925-position model. The record is from RNAcentral.